Molecule: ribosomal RNA, 253 nt
Filed under: uncultured bacterium
Lineage: Bacteria
Description: partial 16S ribosomal RNA
Rfam family: Bacterial small subunit ribosomal RNA
Source: RNAcentral
UACAUACUGUGCGAACGUUAUUCGGAUUCAUUGGGCGUAAAGGGUGCGUAGGUGGCGCCGUAAGUCGGGUGUGAAAUUUCGGAGCUUAACUCCGAAACUGCAUUCGAUACUGCGGUGCUUGAGGACUGGAGAGGAGACUGGAAUUCAUGGUGUAGCAGUGAAAUGCGUAGAGAUCAUGAGGAAGACCAGUGGCGAAGGCGGGUCUCUGGACAGUUCCUGACACUGAGGCACGAAGGCCAGGGGAGCAAACGGG